RNAcentral lists this ribosomal RNA (519 nucleotides) under uncultured bacterium. RNAcentral describes it as "partial 16S ribosomal RNA". It matches the Rfam family "Bacterial small subunit ribosomal RNA", at positions 28 to 507 of the family's 1533-position model. The record is from RNAcentral.
GACGAACGCUGGCGGCGUGCCUAAUACAUGCAAGUCGAGCGAGUCUGCCUUGAAGAUCGGAGUGCUUGCACUCUGUGAAACAAGAUACAGGCUAGCGGCGGACGGGUGAGUAACACGUGAGUAACCUGCCCAAGAGAUCGGGAUAACACCUGGAAACAGAUGCUAAUACCGGAUAACAACAGAUGAUGCCUAUCAACUGUUUAAAAGAUGGUUCUGCUAUCACUCUUGGAUGGACCUGCGGUGCAUUAGCUAGUUGGUAGGGUAACGGCCUACCAAGGCGAUGAUGCAUAGCCGAGUUGAGAGACUGAUCGGCCACAUUGGGACUGAGACACGGCCCAAACUCCUACGGGAGGCAGCAGUAGGGAAUCUUCCACAAUGGACGCAAGUCUGAUGGAGCAACGCCGCGUGAGUGAAGAAGGGUUUCGGCUCGUAAAGCUCUGUUGUUGGUGAAGAAGGACAGGGGUAGUAACUGACCUUUGUUUGACGGUAAUCAAUUAGAAAGUCACGGCUAACUACGUG